GACGAACGCUGGCGGCGUGCUUAACACAUGCAAGUCGAACGGAAAGGCCCUGCUUUUGUGGGGUGCUCGAGUGGCGCACGGGUGAGUAACACGUGAGUAACCUGCCCUUGACUUUGGGAUAACUUCAGGAAACUGGGGCUAAUACCGGAUAGGAGCUCCUGCUGCAUGGUGGGGGUUGGAAAGUUUCGGCGGUUGGGGAUGGACUCGCGGCUUAUCAGCUUGUUGGUGGGGUAGUGGCUUACCAGGGCUUUGACGGGUAGCCGGCCUGAGAGGGUGACCGGCCACAUUGGGACUGAGAUACGGCCCAGACUCCAACGGGAGGCAGCAGUGGGGAAUAUUGCACAAUGGGCGGAAGCGUGAUGCAGCAAUGCCGCGUGCGGGAUGACGGUCUUCGGGUGGUAAACCGCUUUCGCCUGUGACGAAGCGUGAGUGACGGUAAUGGGUAAAGAAGCACCGGCUAACUACGUG
RNAcentral lists this ribosomal RNA (468 nucleotides) under uncultured bacterium. RNAcentral's name for it is "partial 16S ribosomal RNA". It matches the Rfam family "Bacterial small subunit ribosomal RNA", at positions 28 to 507 of the family's 1533-position model. The record is from RNAcentral.